UACAGAGGGUGCAAGCGUUAAUCGGAAUUACUGGGCGUAAAGCGCACGUAGGCGGAUUUUUAAGUCGGGUGUGAAAUCCCCGGGCUCAACCUGGGAACUGCAUCCGAUACUGAGAAUCUAGAGUAUGAUAGAGGAAAGUGGAAUUCCAGGUGUAGCGGUGAAAUGCGUAGAUAUCGGGAGGAACACCAGUGGCGAAGGCGGCUUUCUGGAUUAAUACUGACGCUGAGGUGAGAAAGCGUGGGGAGCAAACAGG
This 253-nucleotide ribosomal RNA is filed under the name uncultured bacterium. Its description in RNAcentral is "partial 16S ribosomal RNA". It matches the Rfam family "Bacterial small subunit ribosomal RNA", at positions 524 to 776 of the family's 1533-position model. The record is from RNAcentral.